GAUGAACGCUGGCGGCGUGCCUAAUACAUGCAAGUCGAGCGAACAGACGAGGAGCUUGCUCCUCUGACGUUAGCGGCGGACGGGUGAGUAACACGUGGAUAACCUACCUAUAAGACUGGGAUAACUUCGGGAAACCGGAGCUAAUACCGGAUAAUAUAUUGAACCGCAUGGUUCAAUAGUGAAAGACGGUUUUGCUGACACUUAUAGAUGGAUCCGCGCCGCAUUAGCUAGUUGGUAAGGUAACGGCUUACCAAGGCAACGAUGCGUAGCCGACCUGAGAGGUAGAACGGCCACACGGGAACUGAGACACGGUCCACACUCCGACGGGAGGCAGCAGUAGGGAAUCUUCCGCAAUGGGCGAAAGCCUGACGGAGCAACGCCGCGUGAGUGAUGAAGGUCUUCGGAUCGUAAAACUCUGUUAUUAGGGAAGAACAAAUGUGUAAGUAACUAUGCACGUCUUGACGGUACCUAAUCAGAAAGCCACGGCUAACUACGUG
Molecule: ribosomal RNA, 497 nt
Filed under: uncultured bacterium
Lineage: Bacteria
Description: partial 16S ribosomal RNA
Rfam family: Bacterial small subunit ribosomal RNA
Source: RNAcentral